This is a long non-coding RNA of Hordeum vulgare subsp. vulgare (domesticated barley), 939 nucleotides long. RefSeq lists it as uncharacterized. The record is from RefSeq and is a predicted model, not a curated record. NCBI's taxonomy places the organism in Eukaryota, Viridiplantae, Streptophyta, Magnoliopsida, Poales, Poaceae. The transcript is spliced from 4 exons.
AUUAGUUGUUCGAUCCCUAACCCUAGCCACACCCACAUCCUCCUCCAUCCCGGCGCCGCUUUCUUCCUUUCUCUCCUACAUCCCGCCGCCGCCCCUACCACUCUUCCAUCGCCCCAAUCAACGGAUCAUUCAUCCCCUUCCCUAUCCCUACCCGCUGCAGGAGCGAGCAACAAGCUUGUUGCCCCGUCAUCCUCUCUGGUUCUCCCAAUGGGUGCAGCAGGAGUUGCCUAUGUGUUUCAUGGUUACGAUGGUUGCGAACGCUGACCGGUAAUCUUCGAGGCAUGCGCCUGCAUCAGUGUCAAAGAUCUGAUCCAUUACGUCGAGGACGUGCACGUUGACCAUCGCCACCAUCGACCGCGCCCCAAGUGGCCUUUCCAGGCGUUCACGGGGCAGCCAUGUCGUCCCGCGGCAGAGCCUUUGCCCUCCACAAGCUUUUCCCUGCAGGUCGACGACAGGGCGUUUUGGGUAAUUCACAGCGCAGGAUGUUAUCAUGGUGAGGUUCCAGUGGAGAGCGGCGGUACAAGGCUUCCGACUGUCGUCUCCUUCCCGAACACGAGCUCGGCCAGAUCCAGUCCCUAAUGGCCAAGGAUUUACCCCUCUCUCUUAAUCCAGUGUAAUAUCCAUUAAUAUGAUUUACCAAUCUGAUUCUUCAUGUUCUCAUGUAUGCAUGCAUGGAAGUUUGGCCCCGAACUAGAUGCGAUGUUGGGAGAACUAGUCUGAUGCACGGAAACCAUUGAUGUUGCACCGCUGCUAACGAAGCCACCACACCGACUUGCCAAGACUACGAGGUCUCCACCACCCGGUCCAAAUUCUGUUGAUCCUACGUUCUCGGUUGAAUUGGUCAUGUUAGACUUGAUGGAUUGACUCACUUCAGCUAUCUUUUGAGAAUCCACAGGCGACAAUGGAAAGAGUAUAUUGUGCAGAGGAAGAUGAUGAGAA